This 104-nucleotide microRNA precursor is filed under the name Ixodes scapularis (black-legged tick). RNAcentral's name for it is "microRNA isc-mir-5305 precursor". The record is from miRBase by way of RNAcentral. Lineage: Eukaryota; Metazoa; Arthropoda; Arachnida; Ixodida; Ixodidae.
ACGGCGGGCAUUUGGCGGACUCUAAGUUAAUCUCCAAGCCCAAUGGUAAUUCUCGUCAAUUGGGCUUGAAGAUUAGCUUAGACCCCGCCAAAUACAUCACACGU